GUCCAUAUUUUUAGGGGAAAAAAAAGCAAAUAAAAGUAAGUGUGGUACCUGGCACCUCUAAGACUAGGAAUGUCCGGUAACUGUCACUGAAGAGCACUCUAUGGCUGUGCAAGGAAGGGAAGGGAGCACCCUUUGACUUCAUAGAAGGGAGCACCUUGUGACUGCAUAGGACGGAGCACCCUAUGACUGUUUACAGAAGGGAGCACCCUGCAACAGCACAGAGUGGAGCACUACACUACGACAUGAGAAGGUGAUCGAGGACUCCUCCUUCACCCUCGGAAGGGUUCUGUUCUCUUCCUGUAGCAGGAUGACCCCUGUGUCUGAGUUCUUCUAGUCCUCCCCCUCUCCCGGUCCAAAACAGAUGCUGGUGACAGCUGGGGAAUGCACAGCAAUAAAGAGUUAUUGGACAAUGGUCAGAGCCAGCCAAAGUUUGACUAGGCUGCCUUUUGGUGGCAAGUUGCCUGUCACCAGAGGCAACCAAACAAGAGCCCAACACCUCUCAGCAGGGAGAACAGCAGGAUUCCACCCUAGUUUCCCCAGCACUUAGGAGCAAAGACAUACCUAUUAGACUUCUCCCUUCUUCUGGACCCUUCAAUUUAAAUGUGUCUGGCCCAUAGAUUAAGCCCUGGAUAUGGAAUAACCAUUUUUUAAUAAGGACAUGUGAUUCAGCACAAACUACUUCUCAUGAGGAUUUUUGCUCGGAUAAAUCAGUCUUCCCUUCCCUCAGUGUUCAUGGGUUCUACUCUAACCAAGCCAUGGUUCAAGAGCCUUGAAUUUAGUACAGAUUUUGAGGAAAUGUCACAUCUCUGGUGGCACUUUGAAGGAUAACUUCUGGAGCUCAAGAUUCUCAGCUCCCCCAACUUCUAGAGCCUAAAUCAUUGGCCUCAGAGGCUUCCAGAAGAUUUGAAUUUUAGACAACCCAGAGGUCCUAAGAUCAAACGCAAAUGAGGUCUUAAGACCUGAAAGAGGUGUCAGAGGAUAGCUAACAACUUUAGGAUUUCCCAUAAGUCCCCUGGAAGUGACAGCUCUCAAUCAGGGAGCUCAGGAAAGAAAAGACAGAAAAGGGAACAAGUUCAGAGGCUCCUGGGCCUUAGGAUCUCCCCGUUAUCCUCAGGGUGCCCCCACCAUGGCCCUGGGUGGGAGGAUAGUCCUGGCACCUCAGGCCCUGUGCAUUGCUUUGUCCCGUCAGUACCCCCUCCAUGCUCAUGAUGGCCUGCACUUCUGCCUCCUCAGCUGCUUCAUGGCGUUGGCCGACCUUGUACCUAGAUCACUGCCCAGUCCCUUUUUCUUCCCUUCUGUUGUGAACACGGGAUGGGACUUGAGGAGGUCAGAGCUCGGGCAAAGAGGGAGGGACAGAACCUGCUCAAAGCUGCAGGGAGUAAAUCAAGCUGCUCUCUUCCUUGGGCUGUCUGACUGGCCUUGCAACCCUUUCCAAUCAGGGAGUCUAAAGUUACCAUAUUGACAGCAUCUGCAGCCAAGCCCAGCUCUAAAGGAGAUGAAUAGCAGUGACUCAGGAGCCCAGUGGAGGGAGGAAGAAUACCCUGGAAAAGUACAUGAGACAGAUGACCUGUUUCUCAGAGAGCACCAGCUAGAAGGGACCUAUGCAUUCUAAGGAGGAAGCAGGUUAGAGGACCAGGCUGCUACCCCUCCCUCCAUGACUCACUACAGAUGGCUUCAGGGCUCUGUGGAGGACUACAGUAAUUGCGGACAUCAUUGUCUGAUGGUGAAUAGACAGGAUGUGGAAGGUAUCAGCAUGUGACAAGAUGGAAGAUGUCUCUAGAGAUGGACUGGAUGUGGCGCGGGUUUCUGAGGAAGGAAGCUAGCCUAAGGAGAGACCUAGAUCAGCACUAACAUGAGGACCAGCCUCAGCAUCUAAAACUCCUACUGGAACCUGGACCCAGAUAUGAGGAGACAUGAGGGCCAUUCAUUCACCCAUCUAGUCCAUGAGUGCUGUUCUUGGUAGACGGUAGCAAGAGACAGGAGCUGAUGGUGUGGCCCUUACAAAGGGAGAACAUUCAGCACUCACCCACAUCUGGGAAUGGUGCCUCCUGUCCAGAUAUAUAGCCAAGACACCAAGGGCAAGGACAUUCUGGUUCCGUUCUGAGACAAUGACUGGCACACAGUAGGGCCCUGAAACAGGCCAGCUGACUGUCAGGGGCAUGAGGCAAAAGGGAAGCGACUGCUGCUUGCUACUACCACAUCCAGUGGCCAAGCUGUUUGGAUGGAAAGAGGAAUCAUGAAGCCUCCACCAACAAGUGGGCAGCCAGAGGCACACACGUCUUGCUCAAGAAAAACAACUUUGUCAUCAUGUCUUGCCCUUGAAAAUACCCCUGUACAGCCAGAGAACCAAGAGCCAGGCACAUGCCCAUGGGAUCUGAUGGUCUAUGGUCUGUUCUUAUCAUCCUGAGCAGAAAGUCAUCAGGUGAGAGCCAGUCUUAAGACUUGGCUUACCCAUUCAAAUGAUCUGUGCAGAACCAAUUCUGUUUUCAUCCUAACAACAAGGUAUUUAUUUCUUUUCAAGGAUCUUAAGUGAAGCCUAGCUUCUCAGUUGUUCCCACAACCCGUUACUGGAAUUCCCUAAUUUCUAUUCCCCGAGACAAGAAUAAUUGAAUACAGGGCUUUGUUGGUCUUUGGCAAACACACUUAGAAUCACUGCUGCCUUUGGCAGGAUAAGGGCAAGGUAGACAGGUAACCAACCGUAAGAAAUUCCAAUAAAAGUUCUGAUUAAAGGUAA
Molecule: long non-coding RNA, 2734 nt
Organism: Rattus norvegicus (Norway rat)
Lineage: Eukaryota; Metazoa; Chordata; Mammalia; Rodentia; Muridae
Source: RefSeq, a predicted model, not a curated record